AGGACAAGUACCGCUACCGUUACCCCAAGGGAGAGUCCUACGAGGACCUGGUGCAGCGGUUGGAGCCGGUGAUCAUGGAGCUGGAGCGGCAGGAGAACGUUCUGGUCAUCUGCCACCAGGCGGUCAUGCGCUGCCUGCUGGCCUAUUUCCUGGACAAGAGUGCAGAUGAGCUGCCCUACCUCAAGUGUCCCCUGCACACCGUGCUAAAGCUGACCCCGGUGGCCUACGGUGAG
Molecule: long non-coding RNA, 233 nt
Organism: Ficedula albicollis (Collared flycatcher)
Lineage: Eukaryota; Metazoa; Chordata; Aves; Passeriformes; Muscicapidae
Exons: 3
Source: RefSeq, a predicted model, not a curated record